This 253-nucleotide ribosomal RNA is filed under the name uncultured bacterium. Its description in RNAcentral is "partial 16S ribosomal RNA". It matches the Rfam family "Bacterial small subunit ribosomal RNA", at positions 524 to 776 of the family's 1533-position model. The record is from RNAcentral.
UACGGGGGGUGCGAGCGUUGUCCGGAAUCACUGGGCGUAAAGGGCGCGUAGGUGGUUUGAUAAGGGUGUGGUGAAAGUCCGGGGCUCAACCCCGGAUCUGCCGUGCCGACUGUCAAACUCGAGGGCUGUAGAGGCAGACGGAAUUCCGGGUGUAGCGGUGGAAUGCGUAGAGAUCCGGAGGAAGACCGGUGGCGAAGGCGGCUACCUGGACAAUUGCUGACGCUCAGGCACGAAAGCGUGGGGAGCAAAAGGG